AGGAGUUAGCCACAGGGAGGGCCGCGGGCCUGGGCUGAGUUGUGGGGGAGGAGGUGGCAGUUUAGGGCCUCAGGGGACAUAUGGGGGCGGUGACAGAGUCAGGCGAUACUGGCGGGCUGGGGGUGGGAGUGUGCCUGCUGGAGGCAGGUUAGAGGGGAGACUAGACCUUAGGGAAGUCUUGCAGGGCAGAGCUGCCUCGAAAGGGCCCGCAGGAACCCGGGGAGAGGAGCACACUCCAGGCCUGGGUGUCGCUGCUGCCCGCUGGAGAAGGGGAACUUGACCCCUGGGAGGGGGCCGAUUCCGCGUAGGCUGGGCGGCCCCCUGUGCCCUGCUUUGUCUGACGGAGGGAGGCAGAGACUGGAGGAGGCUGAGGGUCUCGCCACCCUUGCUGGAGGCGAUAUCUGGCCGUCGAUGCCCUGAACAUGAGCAAGAAGGCAGGCCGUGGGGUGCGGGGUCGCAGUUAGGCUGGGAAGGCAGCACUUGAACUUGUCAAUACCAGCCGCCCCCUUUUUUUCCAGACAAAGGGGUGUGAGCCCGCCUGGGGAUGAGGCCUGGUGUGGUGGCAACUGACCUUAGCUUCGCGGGCUGACAGCUCUGGCCCAGGGCGGUGGCAGUGCUCCCUUUUGGACUUUUCCUGUAGGUUCCGUGCUAACCUCUUCUUGUUCAUCAUGGCGAGCUGAUGGCACCAGGAGGAUGGAGCCUCUGGCCAGUGUGAGUCCUAGCAGUGCAGGAGGGGAGACCCUGGAGGAGAGAGCCCGCCUAAAUUGAUGUCUGCAGAUUGAAUUUCCAGAGGCUUAGGAGGAGGAAGUUCUCCAAUGUCCCGUGUCCAGGCCUUGGCUCAGGAAGCCCUGUAUUCAGGAGGCCACCCUUUAAGGGUGUCAAUGAGCUUGUGAGAGGGUGAUGGUUCCAAGUCCCAAGCAGAUGCAUCCGGGGUCGUCAGCAGAUGUGUUGAGUGUUUGAUCCGGAGCACCAACCUCUGGGCACGUUGAAUGCCAGCAGGCACCUCUCCUGUUCGGGGGUGGAGGUUUUCCGAUGGCUGCGUCUUCUAAUGCCUCCUGUCAUGCUAGUUCUGUGCUACGAACCUUGCUUCCAGAAGACUCUUAAGAUGUAGAACAUUUUAACGCUGAUGCCUCAACGCAGAGUGAUGCCUGGUAGAUGGAGCUUGCAGAUGGAGCCCAGGGACCCUGUCAUCUACUCACCUGCCUGCCCCAGCCUCGGUCGGAGGAAUUCUUAGUGUGAUGAUGUAACCUGUGUGUCCAGAAAGUGUUCACUGUUGAAACGCCUUAGGCCAAUACUCACAGGAAGCCACCUGGC
This 1314-nucleotide long non-coding RNA is filed under the name Sus scrofa (pig). RNAcentral's name for it is "lncRNA (ENSSSCG00045033875.1, ENSSSCG00055019668.1, ENSSSCG00065036144.1)". The stretch from base 658 to 815 matches the Rfam family "Nuclear enriched abundant transcript 1 conserved region 3". Lineage: Eukaryota; Metazoa; Chordata; Mammalia; Artiodactyla; Suidae. The record is from RNAcentral.